RNAcentral lists this ribosomal RNA (878 nucleotides) under uncultured bacterium. RNAcentral's name for it is "bacterial SSU rRNA". It matches the Rfam family "Bacterial small subunit ribosomal RNA", at positions 26 to 898 of the family's 1533-position model. The record is from RNAcentral.
AGAGCGAACGCUGGCGGCGUGCUUAACACAUGCAAGUCGAGUGCGCAGUUUCCUGUAGCAAUACAGGGAAUGGGCGCACGGCGCACGGGUGAGUAACACGUGGGCAAUCUGCCCUUCGGUGGGGAAUACCCCCGCGAAAGCGGGACUAAUACCGCAUGACAUUCCGGUGGCUUCGGCCGCCGGACUCAAAGGCCGCAAGGCCGCCGGAGGAGGAGCCCGCGCCCGAUUAGCUUGUUGGCGAGGUAACGGCUCACCAAGGCUUUGAUCGGUAGCUGGUCUGAGAGGACGAUCAGCCACACUGGAACCGAGACACGGUCCAGACUCCUACGGGAGGCAGCAGUGGGGAAUGUUGCGCAAUGGGCGAAAGCCUGACGCAGCGACGCCGCGUGGGGGAUGAAGCUUCUCGGAGUGUAACCCCCUUUCGACCCGGAAGAAUGACCCGCAAGGGUUUGACGGUACGGGUAUAAGAAGCCCCGGCUAACUACGUGCCGGCAGCCGCGGUAAUACGUAGGGGGCCAGCGUUGCUCGGAAUUACUGGGCGUAAAGGGUUCGUAGGCGGUGCGGCAAGUUGGGAGUGAAAUCUCCAGGCUUAACUUGGAGACGGCUUCCAAAACUGCCGUGCUCGAGUGCGGGAGAGGCCAGUGGAAUUGCAGGUGUAGCGGUGAAAUGCGUAGAUAUCUGCAGGAACACCCGUGGCGAAGGCGGCUGGCUGGACCGCAACUGACGCUGAGGAACGAAAGCUAGGGGAGCAAACAGGAUUAGAUACCCUGGUAGUCCUAGCCCUAAACCAUCAGGACUUGGGGUGGCCCGCGUAGGCGGGUCGUCCCGUAGCUAACGCGUUAAGUCCUGCGCCUGGGGAGUACGGUCGCAAGACUGAA